Molecule: ribosomal RNA, 254 nt
Filed under: uncultured bacterium
Lineage: Bacteria
Description: partial 16S ribosomal RNA
Rfam family: Bacterial small subunit ribosomal RNA
Source: RNAcentral
CGUAGGGUGCGAGCGUUGUCCGGAUUUAUUGGGCGUAAAGGGCUCGUAGGUGGCUGAUCGCGUCGGAAGUGUAAUCUUGGGGCUUAACCCUGAGCGUGCUUUCGAUACGGGUUGACUUGAGGAAGGUAGGGGAGAAUGGAAUUCCUGGUGGAGCGGUGGAAUGCGCAGAUAUCAGGAGGAACACCAGUGGCGAAGGCGGUUCUCUGGGCCUUUCCUGACGCUGAGGAGCGAAAGCGUGGGGAGCGAACAGGCUU